UCAGUCAGGUUUGGCCCUUGUAAGGAAAAUGUUCGGGCACCAAUCAAUGUGUAGUCUAUCUGAGGAGGUAACUGUUUAGCAUAUGAUAAUGCAUGCUUGUACAAAGUCAGUCCACAUAUUAUAAUGUUUGUCUUCAAUCAAUCAAUUUAAAUAAAAGAGAUGGGGACUUUAUAAUAUAAUAAGGGUCCAUAUAUCACAGUGAUAAAAGACAUACAUGUAUUUUUACUUUAACAUGAACUAAUGCUGAGUUAAGGCAUAUACUAUCAUAAACUAAGAGUCAUCAUUAAGAUGACAUGUUUUUCAUUGUUAGUUAAUGCAUUCAUUUACAAUGAAUUAAUUUGAGUUCAUGUUGUAAUUAAGUAAGUUCAGUAAGUUACAUGUCUUAACUCAGCAUUAGUUUUGUAUUUACUUAUAUUUAAGUAAGAAUUCAUUUAGGUAUAUGUUCAAUGUUUCCAAUGAUGAGCAGUUAAUCCACUAAACCCAAAGAUAAUUCCUGAGGCAUGUUUAAAGAGUUUUGUAUUUCAUCAAAGAUUUUAUAUUUAAGAAAAUCUGAAAUCAUUCAAAAUAACUGUUAACAUGUUUGUCAACUAAACAUGUUUUGUCAACGUUAUAAACUUUAUAGAAAUAUUUUUUAUUAAUGACCAAGUAUAAAGAACCAUGCAUAGUGUGAAAACGCGGAUUAUAUAAAAGUAUAUAAUAAAGUGCGAGCAGAGGAUCAAUCAAACUUGGGCUGGAAUGAUUGUAGUGCAUCCAAUGCACCUUGGAAUUCGUAGUUUACAUCUACAGCAGCAUAUGCUACAGCAGUGACAACGCCAAAGAAAAGGACUACAUUUCCCAGAAUGCACCUGCACCCACUCAUCUGCCCCCACUCUUCAGGUGCGACUGCUUGACCUAUGGGCUUGACGGGAAAAUUCAAAAUCGCGAACCGUUACAGCCUGGACUUCUCGUUCGGUGUAUUUCUUUGUUUGCUUGCACAUCAACAGUAAGAGGUCAUGUACACUGUGGUCAACUUGUGGACGCUGAAGAGGUUUCUGGGUAAAGAUGAUAGAAAUAAUGAAGUAACAGUGGAAGCUAAAACAUCAAACUGAUCCAGACACUGAAGAAAUUGAUGUCACUGCAAUCUGGCCAAAAUGAUACAACUAUAUUGAAGUAGCCUACUGUAAUGAAGCUGCAGAACGUCACAGAGACUCUGAGGACAUCAACACAGAAUAUCAAGGCUCCCAAGAGAUGUCUGUCCAGAUGAGGGUGCAUCAACGUUACCUUUGCUGACAAGUAUAUGCUUUACAAUGUAAAACCUAACAGUUAACUUAACUCAAACCAUUUAAGGAAAUUGGUUGCCUUAAAUCAUUAAGUUUUAAAAAAAACAUACAUUUGAGUACUGUGAACUUAAGUCUUGUGCAAUUAUGCACUUAUAUUUAGGUAGUGUGAACUUAAAUAUAAGUGCUUAACUGCAUGUGACUCAAUUUGUUUAAGUUCACAGUUCUCAAAUCUAUGUGUUUUAAACUUGAAUGGUUUAAUGCAACCGUUUUUCUUAAAUGUGAGAAAUUACAGUGUUACAGUGAGAAAUGUUUGAAUAAUUCCAAGACAGAGCUCUGUGAUUGAUUCUACACUGCAAAAAUCACUUUCUAACACUUUUUAUCUUGUUUUCAGUAGAAAAACUAAAAAUUCUUAAUCAAGAUGUAUUUUCUUGAUGAGCAAAAUUACCUUAGAAAAUAUGUCUAGUUUUUAGACAAAAAUAUACAAUUUAAGAUAAUUUGUGCCUAAACAAGAAAAAAUAUCUAACAAUGGGGUGAGAAAAUUGUGUUUUAAUUAAGUUUUUAAGAAAAAAGAAAACUUAAGAUUUUUUUUCUCACACUAUUGGCAGAUAUUUUUGCUUGUUUUAAGCACAAAUUCACUUAAUACACACACACACACACACACACACACACACACAUUAUUUAUUCGGUCUAAAACUAGACUUAUUUUCUUGGGUCAUUUUGUUCCUCAAGAAAAAGCAUUUUAAUUUAAAUAAUAUUUCUACAGAAAACAAGACAAAAAUACUAUGUAAGAAAGUCAUUUUUGCAGUGUAGGACUGAUUUCUUUAGAUUUAGAUAUUUACUACAUUACAGUGGCAGCUGGUGACUUCUUUUUUUUGUGAGCACUCGAUGCGAAGUUUGUCACAACAUGUAUAUAGCCUGUCAUUUGUGAUGUUCCCAAUUUCAAAAUAUGUGUUCUGUGUGUCGAGUGCGUGUAUGUGCAUCACGUGUUUUGACUAAACACGUGAUGCACGUGGUUUACAUGAAGCAACAAACACAUAUUUUAAAAACACAAGCAACACACAUGACACUCUGAACACUUAUUUUGAAUUUGCAACCCUCGGAUGAGCAGUCACGAGCCGCCACUGCUACAUUACAUUGUACUGCUUUGAAUGUAGUUUUCAUUGUUGCUUUUAUUUUGUUUUAUUUUACUCUAAUAUUGCUUUCUCUGUCUGUAUAUUUAUGAGUUUAAAUGGUAUUGUUUAUGUAUGCAACUUUUAAUAUUUGUGUAUUAUAUUAUUUUGUGAUUGUGACAAUUGUGGAUUGUUCAGUUUUUUAUUAAAUAAACAUUUCAAACUCAA
Misgurnus anguillicaudatus (oriental weatherfish) is the source of this 2596-nucleotide non-coding RNA. The record is from RefSeq and is a predicted model, not a curated record. NCBI's taxonomy places the organism in Eukaryota, Metazoa, Chordata, Actinopteri, Cypriniformes, Cobitidae.